RNAcentral lists this transfer RNA (83 nucleotides) under virus sp. ctML55. RNAcentral describes it as "tRNA-Tyr". It matches the Rfam family "tRNA". Rfam says of the family: Transfer RNA (tRNA) molecules are approximately 80 nucleotides in length. Lineage: Duplodnaviria; Heunggongvirae; Uroviricota; Caudoviricetes; Metacrassvirales; Tripviridae. RNAcentral also lists the same sequence under 1 other name. The record is from RNAcentral.
GGGAGUGCGCCAACGUUGGAGAGUUGGGCUUGACUGUAAAUCAAGUGCCUAUGGCUUAGAAGGUUCGAAUCCUUCCACUCCCA